RNAcentral lists this ribosomal RNA (703 nucleotides) under uncultured bacterium. Its description in RNAcentral is "bacterial SSU rRNA". It matches the Rfam family "Bacterial small subunit ribosomal RNA", at positions 62 to 753 of the family's 1533-position model. The record is from RNAcentral.
UCGAGGGGCAGCAUUUUAGUUUGCUUGCAAACUGAAGAUGGCGACCGGCGCACGGGUGAGUAACACGUAUCCAACCUGCCGAUAACUCCGGAAUAGCCUUUCGAAAGAAAGAUUAAUACCGGAUAGUAUACGAAUAUCGCAUGAUAUUUUUAUUAAAGAAUUUCGGUUAUCGAUGGGGAUGCGUUCCAUUAGUUUGUUGGCGGGGUAACGGCCCACCAAGACUACGAUGGAUAGGGGUUCUGAGAGGAAGGUCCCCCACAUUGGAACUGAGACACGGUCCAAACUCCUACGGGAGGCAGCAGUGAGGAAUAUUGGUCAAUGGGCGCGAGCCUGAACCAGCCAAGUAGCGUGAAGGAUGAAGGCUCUAUGGGUCGUAAACUUCUUUUAUAUGGGAAUAAAGUUUUCCACGUGUGGAAUUUUGUAUGUACCAUAUGAAUAAGGAUCGGCUAACUCCGUGCCAGCAGCCGCGGUAAUACGGAGGAUCCGAGCGUUAUCCGGAUUUAUUGGGUUUAAAGGGAGCGUAGGUGGAUUGUUAAGUCAGUUGUGAAAGUUUGCGGCUCAACCGUAAAAUUGCAGUUGAAACUGGCAGUCUUGAGUACAGUAGAGGUGGGCGGAAUUCGUGGUGUAGCGGUGAAAUGCUUAGAUAUCACGAAGAACUCCGAUUGCGAAGGCAGCUCACUAGACUGUUACUGACACUGAUGCU